CUGUCGUUGGACGUCCCUCCAUGGGACGAUGAUCCUUCCGCAGUGUACACUUGUAGAAGCCUUAGCGGGUCCAAAAGACCGGUUCCGCGACUCAAAAUAAGAGAUGACCCCAUCCUCCACAUUGUGGGCGGGUGGCGCUAGUCGGUCCCAUGUCCAUGUUCUAUGUGACGGGGCGCCGGCGACACUAUCGAAUUGCGGGGAUACCCUAAAGGGCGGCCGUACGAACCCCGAGGUGAAAGUCUCGGGCUGCGAUAGUUAACAGCUAUCGGAAACGUAAAAAUCGGUCGCCAUGAUCCCCUGCCCGAGCAGGGGGGAAAUGGGCAAUCCGCAGCCAAGGGCCUAAGGCCGUCUUCAAGGGCGGCUACGGUCAAGGUUCACAGACUAAGUGGUAGUGGGUGUGGUCUAUGUGGCCAUGCUUAAGAUAUAGUCGGGCCAUCAGGGAAACCUGAUGGGUAAGUACACUGCAUGUGGCAAGGGUUAACCCUUCCCUACGUCUUCUGACGUUCUGUAAACCGUUCCGUAGGUGAACCUGCGGAAGGAUCAUUAAAGAGUAAGGGUCAUUCGUGGCCCGACCUCCAACCCUUUGUUGUUAUAACUACCUCGUUGCUUUGGCGGGACCGCUCGGUCUCGAGCUGCCGGUCUUCGGCCCGGCAAGCGCCCGCCAGAGUCUACUCAAACUCUUGUUUUAACCGGUCGUCUGAGUUAAACUUUUAAUUAAAUUAAAACUUUCAACAACGGAUCUCCGCUCCCUGGUAUUCCGGGGAGCAUGCCUGUUCGAGCGUCAUUACACCACUCAAGCACCGCUUGGUAUUAGGCCGUCGUCUUCCGCAAGGUGGGCGUGCCUCAAACACCUCGGCGGAGCCUCACCGGCUUUGGGCGUAGUAGAAUUUCUCAACGUCUUGCAAGCACCGGUUUGACUCCUUUGCCGUUAAAACCCCAAUUUUUUAACAGGUUGACCUCGGAUCAGGUAGGGAUACCCGCUGAACUUAAGCAUAUCAAUAAGCGGAGGAAAAGAAACCAACAGGGAUUGCCCUAGUAACGGCGAGUGAAGCGGCAACAGCUCAAAUUUGAAAUCUGGCACUUGUGUCCGAGUUGUAAUUUGUAGAGGAUGCUUUUAGGCAGCCACCGGUCUAAGUUCCUUGGAACAGGACGUCAUAGAGGGUGAGAAUCCCGUAUGUGACCGGACAGGCACCUUCUGUAAAGCUCCUUCGACGAGUCGAGUUGUUUGGGAAUGCAGCUCUAAAUGGGAGGUAAAUUUCUUCUAAAGCUAAAUACCGGCGAGAGACCGAUAGCGCACAAGUAGAGUGAUCGAAAGAUGAAAAGCACUUUGGAAAGAGAGUUAAAAAGCACGUGAAAUUGUUGAAAGGGAAGCGCUUGCAAUCAGACUUGUCCUCGGGUGUUCCGCCGGUCUUCUGACCGGUCUACUCAUUCGGGGGCAGGCCAGCAUCACUUUCGGCGGCCGGAUAAAGGCAUUGGGAAUGUAGCUCAACCUUCGGGGGGAGUGUUAUAGCCCAGUGUGUAAUACGGCCAGCCGGGAGUGAGGUCCGCGC
RNAcentral lists this ribosomal RNA (1550 nucleotides) under Dothideomycetes sp. 11147. RNAcentral describes it as "eukaryotic LSU rRNA". The stretch from base 954 to 1550 matches the Rfam family "Eukaryotic large subunit ribosomal RNA", at positions 1 to 605 of the family's 3401-position model. Lineage: Eukaryota; Fungi; Ascomycota; Dothideomycetes. The record is from RNAcentral.